GAUGAACGCUAGCUACAGGCUUAACACAUGCAAGUCGAGGGGCAGCGGGGAGGAUGCUUGCAUUCUCUGCCGGCGACCGGCGCACGGGUGAGUAACGCGUACCGAACCUGCCUCAUACUCGGGAAUAGCCUUGCGAAAGUAAGAUUAAUGCCCGGUGUUCCGCGAGGGCCGCAUGGCCUUUUCGGCAAAGUUUUUUACGGUAUGAGAUGGCGGUGCGUCCCAUUAGCUUGUUGGCGGGGUAAUGGCCUACCAAGGCGUCGACGGGUAGCCGGCCUGAGAGGGUGUACGGCCACAUUGGGACUGAGACACGGCCCAG
Molecule: ribosomal RNA, 316 nt
Filed under: uncultured bacterium
Lineage: Bacteria
Description: bacterial SSU rRNA
Rfam family: Bacterial small subunit ribosomal RNA
Source: RNAcentral